RNAcentral lists this non-coding RNA (24 nucleotides) under Arabidopsis thaliana (thale cress). Lineage: Eukaryota; Viridiplantae; Streptophyta; Magnoliopsida; Brassicales; Brassicaceae. The record is from RNAcentral.
UCGCAAUAAGAAGCUCAAGUGCCC